RNAcentral lists this ribosomal RNA (267 nucleotides) under uncultured bacterium. Its description in RNAcentral is "partial 16S ribosomal RNA". It matches the Rfam family "Bacterial small subunit ribosomal RNA", at positions 793 to 1055 of the family's 1533-position model. The record is from RNAcentral.
GUCCUAGCCGUAAACGGUGCAUGUUUGCUGUAAAAGGAAUCGACCCCUUUUGUGGCGGAGCAAACGCGUUAAACAUGCCGCCUGGGAAGUACGGUCGCAAGAUUAAAACUCAAAGAAAUUGACGGGGGCCUGCACAAGCGGUGGAGUAUGUGGCUCAAUUCGAUGCAACGCGAAGAACCUUACCUGGCCUUGACAUGCAAGUAGUAGAAGGGUGAAAGCCUAACGAGGUAGCAAUACCAGCUUGCACAGGUGCUGCAUGGCUGUCGU